UCGUCUGUAUUUCCGCCGGCGCGAAACGAGCGUAGCUUCCUUGUCGUGUGGCCUCAGUCCUUCGCCGUCCCUCGCCGUCCUUCGCCAUCGCACGCCACCGCACCCCAUCUCUCGAAAUCUGCAGACAUCUUGAUUUUUCCCACGCUGUCUGUCAGGUCUCCGCCGCCACUCGACGCCAGGGCGCCGGGCCUUGUGGGCUGUGCUGCACCUCGGACGGCUUCGCACCAGCCAGCGCCCUCUCUCUCCUGCAGCACUCUGAUCUGCACCCCCUGAGGGGCUUCCACUGUCCGCGGGGUGAGAAUGCCCCUGGGAGUGUCACAUGACUGCCGCCCCAUGUGUGUGAGAGGCGUCCUCUGGGAGAGCAUGGAUCCUGAGGUCCCAGGAUUGUCAGCUGACCUCUGUCCUGUGUGCCCAGUGGCCCCAGGUGACGUGUCUUCAAGAAGAGGCUGAGCUGCGGUGCUUGUAAGGCAGGGUCUCAUUCUGUCACCCAGGCUGGAGUGCAGUGGUGCAAUGAUGGCUCACUGCAGCCUCGACCUGGGCUCAAGUGAUCCUCCACCUCAGCUUCCUGAGUAGCUGGGACCACAGAGUCAUGUGCUGUUCCUGGGGCUUGGAUGAUGUAGGGGAAGCAAGGUGAAAGUGGUAUCCCGUGGUUCCACGUUCUGUCCUGCUGUGGGGCUGUCCCUCACAUGCUUUCAGUGGCUGUUGCAGAGGAAGAGCCUCCGGAAAUCUGCGUCUCAGCCUUAGAUCCAAGGACAGUCCAAGGAAGUCCUAAGACCAUGGAGUUGGUGAUCUGGGAUCUGGGUUUGCUGAUAUUUCUCACCGUGAAUCUCUUGGUGGUGUUUGUGGGCACGAGAGGGGCAGAGAAUGGAGAGUGAGGCUACCACAUGAAGCGUCACCAGAGCUGCUCCCUGCUGCCUGCUCAGAGCACCCCGGAUCCACUGUUCAAUCUGCACAAGAUUCGGGGUCCAGACAUGGGAGACUUCAGCUGCCUCAGAGGACCGUGGACAGGGAAGGCCAGCCUCGCAUCCCUCUGUCCAUGCCUGGAAUGACUUUAAUAACCAAGAGUUUUAUUUUUGAAUUUGUAGCUGUCGUUCACUUUUUACCCACCCAUUCAAUAAACCU
RNAcentral lists this long non-coding RNA (1122 nucleotides) under Homo sapiens (human). RNAcentral describes it as "HSALNT0400944". Lineage: Eukaryota; Metazoa; Chordata; Mammalia; Primates; Hominidae. The record is from RNAcentral.